This 35-nucleotide non-coding RNA is filed under the name unclassified sequences. RNAcentral describes it as "DUF805b RNA". It matches the Rfam family "DUF805b RNA". Rfam says of the family: Bacteroidetes, Chlorobi (1 example), Proteobacteria. The record is from RNAcentral.
ACAGCGAAUUCCGAAAAGCUGUGAGAGAGUAGGAG